Molecule: ribosomal RNA, 468 nt
Filed under: uncultured bacterium
Lineage: Bacteria
Description: partial 16S ribosomal RNA
Rfam family: Bacterial small subunit ribosomal RNA
Source: RNAcentral
GACGAACGCUGGCGGCGUGCUUAACACAUGCAAGUCGAACGGAAAGGCCCUGCUUUUGUGGGGUGCUCGAGUGGCGAACGGGUGAGUAACACGUGAGUAACCUGCCCUUGACUUUGGGAGAACUUCAGGAAACUGGGGCUAAUACCGGAUAUGAGCUCCUGCUGCAUGGUGGGGGUUGGAAAGUUUCGGCGGUUGGGGAUGGACUCGCGGCUUAUCAGCUUGUGGGUGGGGUAGUGGCUUACCAAGGCUUUGACGGGUAGCCGGCCUGAGAGGGUGACCGGCCACAUUGGGACUGAGAUACGGCCCAGACUCCUACGGGAGGCAGCAGUGGGGAAUAUUGCACAAUGGGCGGAAGCCUGAUGCAGCAACGCCGCGUGCGGGAUGACGGCCUUCGGGUUGUAAACCGCUUUCGCCUGUGACGAAGCGUGAGUGACGGUAAUGGGUAAAGAAGCACCGGCUAACUACGUG